AUUGAACGCUGGCGGAAUGCUUUACACAUGCAAGUCGAACGGCAGCACGGGUGCUUGCACCUGGUGGCGAGUGGCGAACGGGUGAGUAAUACAUCGGAACGUACCCAGUCGUGGGGGAUAACUAACCGAAAGGUUAGCUAAUACCGCAUACGCCCUGAGGGGGAAAGCGGGGGACCGUAAGGCCUCGCGCGAUUGGAGCGGCCGAUGUCUGAUUAGCUAGUUGGUGAGGUAAAGGCUCACCAAGGCGACGAUCAGUAGCUGGUCUGAGAGGAUGAUCAGCCACACUGGAACUGAGACACGGCCCAGACUCCUACGGGAGGCAGCAGUGGGGAAUUUCGGACAAUGGGGGAAACCCUGAUCCAGCCAUUCCGCGUGAGUGAAGAAGGCCUUCGGGUUGUAAAGCUCUUUCGGCAGGGAAGAAACGCUCUGGGUUAAUAACCCGGGGUAAUGACGGUACCUGAAGAAGAAGCACCGGCUAACUACGUGCCAGCCGCCGCUGUAA
This 502-nucleotide ribosomal RNA is filed under the name uncultured bacterium. RNAcentral's name for it is "partial 16S ribosomal RNA". It matches the Rfam family "Bacterial small subunit ribosomal RNA", at positions 30 to 523 of the family's 1533-position model. The record is from RNAcentral.